AACGUACGCUGGCGGCACGCCUAACACAUGCAAGUCGAACGAAGUAGCAAUACUUAGUGGCAGACGGGUGAGUAACAUGUGGGUAUCUGCCCUUUGGCCUGGAAUAACACGAGGAAACUUGUGCUAAUACCGGAUAAGUCUUUACGGAGAAAGCUUUAUGCACCAUUGGAUGAGCCCGCACUUGAUUAGUUUGUUGGUGGGGUAAUGGCCUACCAAGACUGUGAUCAAUAGCUGAUUUGAGAGGAUGAUCAGCCACAUUGGGACUGAGACACGGCCCAAACUCCUACGGGAGGCAGCAGUGGGGAAUCUUGCACAAUGGAGGAAACUCUGAUGCAGCGAUGCCGCGUGAGUGAAGAAGGCCCUUGGGUUGUAAAGCUCUUUCGUCGGGGAAGAAAAUGACUGUACCCGAAUAAGAAGGUCCGGCUAACUUCGUGCCAGCAGCCGCGGUAAUACGAAGGGACCUAGCGUAGUUCGGAAUUACUGGGCUUAAAGAGUUCGUAGGUGGUUGAAAAAGUUAGUGGUGAAAUCCCAGAGCUUAACUCUGGAACUGCCAUUAAAACUUUUCAGCUAGAGUAUGAUAGAGGAAAGCAGAAUUUCUAGUGUAGAGGUGAAAUUCGUAGAUAUUAGAAAGAAUACCAAUUGCGAAGGCAGCUUUCUGGAUCAUUACUGACACUGAGGAACGAAAGCAUGGGUAGCGAAGAGGAUUAGAUACCCUCGUAGUCCAUGCCGUAAACGAUGUGUGUUAGACGUUGGAAAUUUAUUUUCAGUGUCGCAGCGAAAGCGAUAAACACACCGCCUGGGGAGUACGACCGCAAGGUUAAAACUCAAAUGAAUUGACGGGGACCCGCACAAGUAGUGGAGCAUGUGGUUUAAUUCGAAGAUACGCGCAGAACCUUACCAACACUUGACAUGUUCGUCGUGACUUUAAGAGAUUAGAGUUUUCGGUUCGGCCGGACGAAACACAGGUGCUGCAUGGCUGUCGUCAGCUCGUGUCGUGAGAUGUUGGGUUAAGUCCCGCAACGAGCGCAACCCUCACUUUUAGUUGCCAUCAUUAAGUUGGGCACUCUGAAAGAACUGCCAGUGAUAAGCUGGAGGAAGGUGGGGAUGACGUCAAGUCCUCAUGGCCCUUACGUGUUGGGCUACACACGUGCUACAAUGGUAUCUACAACAGGAAGCAAGACUGCGAGGUCAAGCAAAUCCUUAAAAGAUACCUCAGUUCGGAUUGCACUCUGCAACUCGAGUGCAUGAAGCUGGAAUUACUAGUAAUCGUGGAUCAGCGUGCCACGGUGAAUGCGUUCCCGGGUCU
RNAcentral lists this ribosomal RNA (1306 nucleotides) under uncultured bacterium. RNAcentral's name for it is "bacterial SSU rRNA". It matches the Rfam family "Bacterial small subunit ribosomal RNA", at positions 28 to 1381 of the family's 1533-position model. The record is from RNAcentral.